UGAGGAAUCUUCCACAAUGGGCGAAAGCCUGAUGGAGCAACGCCGCGUGCAGGAUGAAGGCCUUCGGGUCGUAAACUGCUUUUAUGGGUGAAUAAUAUGAAUGUAACCCUUGAAUAAGCACCGGCUAACUACGUGCCAGCAGCCGCGGUCAUACGUAGGGUGCAAGCAUUAUCCGGAGUGACUGGGCGUAAAGAGUUGCGUAGGUGGUUUGUUUAGUGAAUAGUGAAAUCUGGUGGCUCAACCAUACAGACUAUUAUUCAAACUGACAAACUCGAGAGUAGCAGAGGUAACUGGAAUUUCUAGUGUAGGAGUGAAAUCCGUAGAUAUCUGGAGGAACACCAGUGGGGAAGGCGGCCACCUGGCCGGCAACUGACGCUGAGGUGCGAAAGCGUGGGGAGCAAACA
This 404-nucleotide ribosomal RNA is filed under the name uncultured prokaryote. RNAcentral describes it as "bacterial SSU rRNA". It matches the Rfam family "Bacterial small subunit ribosomal RNA", at positions 355 to 774 of the family's 1533-position model. The record is from RNAcentral.